Molecule: long non-coding RNA, 1601 nt
Organism: Pongo pygmaeus (Bornean orangutan)
Lineage: Eukaryota; Metazoa; Chordata; Mammalia; Primates; Hominidae
Exons: 2
Source: RefSeq, a predicted model, not a curated record
UGUAUAUAAAUGCCACUUAAUUGUAUCCUUUAAAAUGGUUAAUUUUAUGUGAUAUGAAUUUUGCCUCAAUUUAAAAAAUGCUAUAUAGAAUUUUUGUUUUUUUUUUUUUGCACAGCACUGUACUCAAUAUCCUGAAAACCUUUCUCAUAAUAAAAUAUCUAAAAAUGCUAGAUAUUAAAAAUAUUUUAACAUUUGUGCCUACACUUUCAAGAAAGCAUGAGAAAUCCUCAAAGGCUCAAAACCAAAUAAGAUCUAAACACUCAAGCAGCAACAAAGAAACAAUGGUUCACAAGGCACCCAUCUGCCAAUCUCCAGUAGAGUUCUCAGCAGACGCAAAGGACAAAGCCCACGGUGCAAACAAGAUGGGGAGCUGGAGCAAAAACCCCUCCUAUACUCAGGUGGAACCCCUGCAUGACUACUCCCUAUGAAAGUCAGUGAAUCAGAAAAACCUCAGCCCCACAAAGCAAGAUGGCAAGCCAAAUCGUGUGUCAGCGUCGGUUCUUGGUGGGGAGAGUGAAAAUACAUAAUUUUCCUGAGAAAUCUAACAGCCUUACUACAUCUUCAUCUCUAGGGAUAAGGCUGCCUGCCUUCAAAGUUUAAAAAAUCCUAAUGAGUGCUAAUUAUUUUUCUUCUAACUGCAGAGAUUCCUAGAUUCUUUUGGAAACCAGCAGUUACUUGGAGGAGAGUCCUUUUUUCUGGCCUCGACAGCCACCCUGGAAGUUCCCCGCUCCUGAGUUAGCAGCUCAGACAACAGAGGACAGAGGACAGUUGUUUUCCUCACCAUUUGUACUCCUUCCAUCAGAGUAUGCCCAUGGGCCCUCACUGACCCCCAACCUGAGUGCCGCCUCUGCUGAUGACUCCCUAGGCUUAUGCUGAAGCCUCCAAAAGCCCCUACAGUUAUAAGGGGACAGCCAACCAGGGAGCCAGUAUUAUCUGGGGGUUCUAACUGUACUGACCUGACUCCUUCAGAUGGGUAUGAGAAACCUUUGAAAAAAUACACUCUAAAGAAUUCUUUGUUUAUGACAUAGGGUUAGAGGGGGAAAAAUAAAUAAAUAAAAUAAAUAAAUCAAUAAAAAACCAAAAACAAAAACACCAAAAAAAGAAUUCUGUUUCCCCACAGUCUAUCUUUGCUGAUUUCAUUCUGAAAUUCUUAAAUCAGAUAUGCUUCUUGUCCUUUUUCUCCACAGAAGACUUAAUUGAAUUAUUUCAGAUCAACCAUAGUGGAGUUAUUUAGAUGGAAAAAAAAAUUAUUUGUCAAAAGAAAUUAAGAAUAGCAUUCCCCACACCAGAUCUUUAUAUGUCACUAACAAAAAGCAUACAAAGAAAAAUAACAUUCCACAUUCAACAGUCUCUAUAAACAAGUUGAUCCCCUGCCAGAACCUAUUCAAUUUGAAUUUGGCCAUGAGUAGUAUUCUCAUGUUGAUUUAUAACCUAAGACUCUUUACUAUUCAAGGCAAAACACAGCCUUGAGCUCUGGCAUUAAAACAGCAACCAACAAAUUAGCAUUAUCCUUGCAAAAUUCAACCAAACAUCUGCACCCAAACACCCUGAGACAAAGCACUUCAGAUUGGAAUAAAAUAUAAAACUGGAUUCACAUAUUU